UACAGAGGUGGCAAGCGUUGUUCGGAAUUACUGGGCGUAAAGGGCGCGUAGGCGGUUCGUUAAGUCCUGUGUGAAAUCCCCCGGCUCAACUGGGGAACUGCACAGGAAACUAGCGGGCUUGAGUUCGGGAGAGGGAAGCGGAAUUCCGGGUGUAGCGGUGAAAUGCGUAGACAUCCGGAGGAACACCGGUGGCGAAGGCGGCUUCCCGGACCGACACUGACGCUGAGGCGCGAAAGCUAGGGGAGCAAACGGG
This 253-nucleotide ribosomal RNA is filed under the name uncultured bacterium. RNAcentral describes it as "partial 16S ribosomal RNA". It matches the Rfam family "Bacterial small subunit ribosomal RNA", at positions 524 to 776 of the family's 1533-position model. The record is from RNAcentral.